ACUUCCAGCCCAAUACCACCCUGAGCACAUUUGAUCUCGUCUGAUCUCAGAAGCUAAGCAAGGUUUGACCUGGUUAGUGCUUGGAUUGGGGACUGCCUGCUGGUACUAGCUACUGUAAGCU
This 121-nucleotide ribosomal RNA is filed under the name Amphilophus citrinellus (Midas cichlid). The record is from RNAcentral. Lineage: Eukaryota; Metazoa; Chordata; Actinopteri; Cichliformes; Cichlidae.